RNAcentral lists this ribosomal RNA (168 nucleotides) under uncultured bacterium. RNAcentral describes it as "partial 16S ribosomal RNA". It matches the Rfam family "Bacterial small subunit ribosomal RNA", at positions 346 to 509 of the family's 1533-position model. The record is from RNAcentral.
AGGCAGCAGUGAGGAAUAUUGGUCAAUGGGCGGAAGCCUGAACCAGCCAAGUCGCGUGAGGGAAGAAGGCCCUGCGGGUCGCAGACCUCUUUGGACGGGGAGCAAGGCCGCGGACGUGUCCGCGGAAGGAGAGUACCCGUAGAACAAGCAUCGGCUAACUCCGUCGCC